CGCCCGGGAAUUACGAGCACACUUAAAACCCAAAGGACUUGACGGUGUCCCAUUCCCACUAGAGGAGCCUGUUCUAUAAUCGAUAACCCCCGCUUUACCUCACCACUUUUUGCUUAUUCAGCCUGUAUACCUCCGUCGCAAGCUUGCCCUGUGAACGCCUAUCGAGCAAGCCCAAGGAUCUAACNCACCAACACGUCAGGUCAAGGUGCAGCCUAUGAAGUGGGAAGCAAUGGGCUACAAUUUCUAAAUUAGAACAAACGAAAAACUGCAUGAAACACAGUUAUGAAGGUGGAUUUAGUAGU
RNAcentral lists this ribosomal RNA (302 nucleotides) under Indirana sp. 87. Its description in RNAcentral is "partial 12S ribosomal RNA". It matches the Rfam family "Bacterial small subunit ribosomal RNA", at positions 870 to 1339 of the family's 1533-position model. The record is from RNAcentral. Lineage: Eukaryota; Metazoa; Chordata; Amphibia; Anura; Ranixalidae. RNAcentral also lists the same sequence under 4 other names.